RNAcentral lists this ribosomal RNA (511 nucleotides) under uncultured fungus. Its description in RNAcentral is "eukaryotic LSU rRNA". The stretch from base 146 to 299 matches the Rfam family "5.8S ribosomal RNA". Lineage: Eukaryota; Fungi. The record is from RNAcentral.
CUCUUCACCCGUGUCUACCAAACUCACGUUGCUUUGGCGGGCCGUCGAACGUUUUCGCGGGAGGCCCCACACAAGCCUCCUCGUGCCCGCCGAAGGCCUCAAUAAAUUCUGUUAUCAGUGUCGUCCGAGUCAACGCAAUAGUUAAAACUUUCAACAACGGAUCUCUUGGUUCCGGCAUCGAUGAAGAACGCAGCGAAAUGCGAAAAGUAAUGUGAAUUGCAGAAUUCCGUGAAUCAUCGAAUCUUUGAACGCACAUUGCGCCCUUUGGCAUUCCGAAGGGCAUGCCUGUCCGAGCGUCAUUGCACCCCUCAAGCACUGCUUGGUAUUGGGCGUCGCCCCCGUGGCGGGCCUGGAUUUCAGUGGCGGUCCGGCGAGACUUCAAGCGUAGCAAGAUUUUCACAUCCCGCUUUGGAAGCCUUCUCGCCGUGCGCCGGCCAGACAACCCCCUUAACAUACCCAUGAUUGACCUCAGAUCAGGUAGGGAUACCCGCUGAACUUAAGCAUAUCAAUA